Molecule: ribosomal RNA, 301 nt
Filed under: uncultured bacterium
Lineage: Bacteria
Description: partial 16S ribosomal RNA
Rfam family: Bacterial small subunit ribosomal RNA
Source: RNAcentral
CAGCAGCCACGGUAAUACGAAGGGUGCAAGCGUUAAUCGGAAUUACUGGGCGUAAAGGGCUCGCAGGCGGUUUCUUAAGUCUGAUGUGAAAGCCCCCGGCUCAACCUGGGAAUGGCAGUGGAUACUGGCUCGCUAGAGUGUGUCAGAGGAUGGUGGAAUUCCCGGUGUAGCGGUGAAAUGCGUAGAGAUCGGGAGGAACAUCAGUGGCGAAGGCGGCCAUCUGGGACAACACUGACGCUGAGGCACGAAAGCGUGGGGAGCAAACAGGAUUAGAUACCCCUGUAGUCCCUGUCUCUUAUAC